AUAUAUAUAUAUAUAUAUAUAUAUAUAGAUAGAUAGAUAGAUAGAUAGAUAGAUAGAUAGAUAGAUAGAUAGAUAGAUAGUAAUAAAAUAAUAAUACAUGAUAACAUUUGAGUAAUACCAACUUGUCCAGUCGUCAUUGACUCAAAGACUACCCAUUUACUAGUGGAAUAGUUUACGCUAUUUUAGGAAAAUUUAUGUUUAAUAUAGUCAUUCUAUUCGUGCUCUCUAUAGUAGUAACUAGAUAUAACAGUACGGGCAGGCCGAAUAUAUAUAAUUUAGUUAUUUUAAUUUAUGUGAAACAGAUAACAUUACAAUAGUUUCAAGUUUUUUUAUUGUUUAUUAUUUUUAUUAUGUUUUUAAGUACUUUUCCAAUAAUAUCUUUGGCACAUGUGAUAUUUAGGGGGUGAAAUUUUUUUUAAUAUAUUUUAAAAAAAUAUUAUAAGUUGUUAAUUAUUAUGAUUUAUGUGUCACAUGUAAAUUUGUGAGAGAACGAAAUUUUAAUUAUAUUUUUAAUACAAUAUUUCAAGUAUGUAAUUUUAAAUUCUACAUGUUAUUUCCCUGUCCGAAUUAAUAUGGUACAUAUUAAAUUGUGAGAUUUAAUUGAAAAAAUUUAUAUGCUUUUAAAUAUUUUAAAUUGUGAUUAAUAGUACUCUUAAUGUAACAAUAUAUUUUACUCCCUUUGUGUUAAUUUAUGUGGCAUAUGUGAAAUUUGUAGAGUUAACCACAUUUUAAUAAGAUUUUUAAAUAUUUUAAGUCGUUAAUUAUUGUAUUUUAUAGUAUUCUUAAUGUGAUUUACAAAUAAUACAUGGUAUUCUCUCAGUCCUAAUUAUGUCGUACAUGAAAUUUUGAAAGGUAAUUAAAAUUGUAAUAUUUUAAGCUAGUUUUUAGUACUAUUAUUAUAAAUACAUAGUAUAUUAAAAAAAAAGUAAAGAUAAAAUAGAUUAAAUACAAUACUAAAUAGAAGAAGUUUAGGAGAAGGGCAAACCAGUCAAUUGACCGGCUGAACCUAAGCUCCUCAACAUUAGCUUGUAUAAUAUCAUUUUCGAUGUAUGAAAUUACUAGAGUUAAUAAAAUUUUAAUAUGAGUUUCAAAUAUUUUAAGUUGUUAAUUAUUGUAAUUUAUAGAAUUCUUAAUGUGAUUUUCAAAUAAAAAUGGCACUCUCAAUCUUAUUAUGUCGUAUCUGUAAAAUUUAGAGAUGUCAUUAAAUUUGCAAUAUUUUAAAUUAAUUUUUACUAAUAUUAUUAUAAAUACAUAGUAGGUAAAAAUAAAUAUUUAAAUAAAUUAAAUUAAAAUAAAUAAAAUACAAAAUAUAAUUAGAAAAAGUUGAGGAGAAGGGCAAAUUGGUCAAUUGACCAGCUGAUCCUAACCUCCUCAACAUUCACUUCUAUAAUAUAGUUAUAGUUAUAUAAGAAGUUUUAAAUUAAUUUUUUAAUGAUUCACGACUAAAAAACAACGGAUAUAAAAGUGUUGUCUGUCGGUUUUUCUAAAAAAUAUUUUUUUUUUUAAAAGUGGCGAACGACCUUUUGAGCCAAAUAUAUAGAAUAAAUAAUAAAUUAUUCUAUACAUAUAGUCUAUAUAUUUUUAUUUUAAAUAAUUAUUUACAAAUUAAGAAAAAAGUCAUGUUGUUCAUCGCUUUUUAUUAAUUUUAAUUGUUUAAUUGUUUCUUAAAUAAGUGACGGAUAGCAUCUUUAAGUCCGUCUCUUCUUGGACAAAAUAUCUGGUCAAUUAUUUUUAAAAAGCGACGGAGAAUGUCUCUUUGUCCGUCUCUUUUUGGUCAAAAAUUUAUUCAAGUAUCUUUAAAAUAAAAGCGACGGACAUGGAGACGUUGUCCGUUACUUUUCAUUAAAUAUCUGAUAGACCAAUCGGGUUUUCCUCAUUUCCCCCUCUCUCUCAACCCUUAUUCUGUCCCCAUUCCUUCUAUCGAUUUUCCCCGUCGCUGCCCUUCUCCGUCCCGUCCCCGUCCCUGCCCUUGCAGUGUGUCCUAUCACCGUUGUCGUUCGCCGUUCGCUCCCUCUCAUAUUUGUUAAGGUAACUAAGGAAGCUCAACAUCUAAAAAAUUUGAUACAAGACUAUAUUUCUUCUUUCAUCAAAGUAAGAGAUAAGGUGGAUCAUCGUUUGAUGGAUGUAUAAUAUGCAUUAUGAAACUAGUGUGGAUUUGAAACCCGAGUUAAUUGACGAUGUUAGAGAUUUUAUUGGACAUACAAUGACAUUUGACAUUUUCAAGAAUAAUGGAUUGGUCAGGUGUCCUUGAAGUGCAUAUGGCAUCAAGCGGUGACAAUGAUAGACAUCACGAGUAUCUUACAGUUAGCGAGACUAAACAGGUCAAAGAGAAGAAGUCUAUAUUUGAGGAUACUGCUGGAUCUAUUUCUUUUCUGCCAAAGUAAAUCAAUCAUGAUACACAUGUAUUUGAUGUUCUAUUUGGUACGACGGAUCCUCAAGGAUAUUAUCCUAAUUUCCGUUGAUCAGUUAAUGCUUCCUCUACUUCACAGGCAUUGUCUCAGUACGCUACGAGGACCUACCUUUACAGGAUAUUUGUCGAGAGGACCCUUAUCGACAGGUACUCCAUCUCCCACAAGUACUCCAUAUUCUACAUGUACAUCUCCUGAGUUAUUUGCCAUGUGGAUUAGAGAUUCUAAAAGUGAGUUGUCAAAUUCUAUGACCGGUACGCCUCCAUUGACUCAGUGUUAUGAGUAUGUAUCAGCCUCAGCAACAACUACACCUAGUACUACUCUAGAUGAUGAGAGGUCUCCUCUAGUUCCUGGCUAGAAAGACAGACUUGGUAGAGUCAUGAUUGAACCAGAUGGAUUAUCGUGGCAUCCGACAAAGAAUCUUGUCGUGGCUUUGAACUAAAGUGUUAGGAUACUCUAUACACAUGCUUAUCCCUCUUGGCUGAGAUCCUAAAAAGUAUACACCACAUAAUGUUUAAUAACUUUAAGACUAUGUUUAUUUGAAAGUGGAGACACAAUCAAGUCAUUUCGACCACAUUUGAAAGAAAGGCAUCCGUUAGACUGUCUGCUUGCCUAAAUAAAGUUCAGGAUGAUGUUGAAUAUCCGGAUUGGAUGAUGCCGCAUGUCCAUGAUGAACUAGGUCUAUUUUGAAACACAGACAAAUUUCAGGCAAUAUCAAACCAAGCCAAAAAGGCUAAAGGAACUCUUAAAGGUGGCUCGUUGCACACCGGAGGUGCAAAGUACGUGAAACAAUUGUAAGAGAGAUGGGAGAUACACAAGGGUAGAGUCAAUGGUCUAGGUACUCUGAACGAUGUAAGACGGCUCCAGUCAGGCUUACAAGGAAUUGGAUCGUCUAGUCAAGUCGAGGCCCUUGAUGGUGUUCAGAAUUUUGCUAUGUUGAUCAAAUAGUUAAAUUUACAGCGGCAUUUGCAGAGUCGGAGCAGUAAAGAGCAGCUGAGCAAGAAAGCAUGAGUGCAACUGUUUAUCAAAUUAAAGAAAAAGUAAUGAACCUCUCUUGUGGACCUACUACAUCGGCUUUCGAUGAUGUCUACGACGACACUUCUGAUGAUGACGAUGACUGUGUAGGAGCCACUCCCUAGCAAGUUUACAUUUGUGGACAAUUAUGGUGUUUUUGUAAAUUUGAACAUAUUUUGAACCAAAUUUUGAAAGACUUUAUACGGCAUUAAAUUUUGAUUUA
Non-coding RNA from Solanum lycopersicum (tomato), 3645 nucleotides. The record is from RefSeq and is a predicted model, not a curated record. Lineage: Eukaryota; Viridiplantae; Streptophyta; Magnoliopsida; Solanales; Solanaceae.